GAGUCAAUUAUACAUACGUCGGCCACGGUUGGAUCUCGUGGCGUUACGUAAUCCAAGGUCACGAUGAUAAUUACUUCAAGUUGCAAAAAUUAACGCAACGUGCUGACGUGCUACGAAAGAAUUUCUUCCGUGCGCACAUACAGUGAAUUACAUCGAUUUCAUUAGCAUAUCGCGAUUUAAUCGAAAUACCACUGAGAUGCAAUAAUUAAUGUGAAUCGCCGGUGUAAAAAAAAAACAUUUGGGGUUUUGUAUCCGUUUGUGCGGAGUAAAAAUUUAAAAAACCUCUCCUAUAGAGCUUCCAACAUUUAUUUGCAAUAUUAACAAUGUGUAUUAUCAUCGUACAAAAUUCAGCACGUCAGAUCUAAAAAUAGGUCUUGUAUAAAUAACAAAUUUAAGGUCUAAUGCGACACUUGCCCCAUCGGAAGAAUCAACUAAAUUCAUGCCAAUUUAACGUCGAUGAAAGUAGCAAAGCACUCCAUCUACGACGAGAACGAAACGAGCUACGCGGGCUCUCAACCCAAAUGUGGGCAGAUGAAUUGCAAUAUAAACGCGAACAGUUGUGACGUUAGCGCAAACGUUAUUUGCAGGGAGCCGGCCGAUCGAUAACCCAGUUUCGAUCGGAGAUUCUCCGAUAUCGAGCAGGUAGCAUCUGCGCAGGGCGAAGCCCGGGUCACCGACACGAAAGCGGUCACCGAGGAGGAUUAAUUAAAAUUUACCAAUCCUUUCUUUUCACUUAUCUUUCAACGAAGAGUCGCAUCGCGAUCACUCUUGCCAAUAAAGGGACAUUUGUUCCCCCGACAUUCUUGGGAGUAGAAUAGAACACGUAUAUAAUUCUGGAAAAUAAUGUCACUCCGUGUGAGUUGUUU
Long non-coding RNA from Vollenhovia emeryi, 866 nucleotides. RefSeq lists it as uncharacterized. The transcript is spliced from 2 exons. NCBI's taxonomy places the organism in Eukaryota, Metazoa, Arthropoda, Insecta, Hymenoptera, Formicidae. The record is from RefSeq and is a predicted model, not a curated record.